CAGUCAGUCCGCAGCGCACGCGAUAAUGAGGUCAAAUCCCGAACUUUAUGUGCACGGGCUACGUCACGAAUCGGCCACGAGACUUACACGUGUUAUUGCGAGAGUUUGGCAGCUUUUUUUUCAUGAACUACACGUUGCAAAUGAAGUAGCGGGUCUCCAAGAUGGCGUGGAACCUGUUCCAGCCAGUUCAAUGCCUCGGUCCUCAGUUGUCGACAGUUUCAUCGCCUCCAACACGGGAACGGUCACGUUCACUUCAGUGCCUUGGUUGGCAUGGUCCUCAUGUUAUGUCGUUGACAUUGACAAUUUAUCAUCUCUCACACAAGAAUGUUUUCUGAGACUCAGAUUCAUGCAGUAUUAAGUUCCUGUGUGCAGAUUUUAUGAUUUUUGUACUUCAGUGUAAAGGCCGGUUCAUAUACUUGUAGCGAAUGGAAAGCGACAUUGACAUCAUGAAACCUUCGCUUCAAAUUUGCCGGAAUUGAAACAUGCUCAACUUUUGUGGAAUUGCAGUGCCGUGACGUCAACAAUUUGAAUUUGCAUUCGCAGAGUAUGAUCCGGCCUUUAUAUGUACUGCGUUGUGCAAACAACAUCAUCACCAUUUGUUGUUGCCAUGUUAAACACGGUUAUUUAAAGUCAUGCCACGGAUACCAUGCCAAAGACAGCAACCAAAGAUUAUCUAACAUUUACUACAUGUAAAUAUUGCUUCAUGUACAUAAUCGUGAUUAGUGACACUAUGCCAAAACUGUGGUUAUUGUUAUCAUCUUCACUUCACUGUAAAUUGUUUAAAUUGAACCUGUUACUACCAGAUUUUAGCAGUUUUUAGAUUGUAGGAGAGUUGAUGAUAUAUUUGCUAUUGAUUUUUGUUGACGUUUAUUUCUUAUCCAGACAGAUGUUGUCAGACAUGUAUGCCAAAACUCAUUUUUGAAAAAUGUUUUCCCUUCUUUAUGCAAGCUGAUUUUUAUUCUGACUGGAAACAUGGGUAUUAUUAACACAUGUAUUUGCAAUUUGUGAUGUGAGGUGUCAUGAAAAGAAGUUAUCUGAGUUUUCCAUGAGUGUUUCAAAGCAAGGAUGUGAUGGUGUUAUUAUACAAAACUGAUCUAGUAUGUUAAUGCUUGCAAGAACAUGUACAUGUAAGUUUAUUUAUUUUUGUUAUUUUUAUUAUAAAAAUCUUUGGACAAUAAUUAAAAAUCUAUUUAAAAAAUAAAAGUAAAUUGUCCUGGUCAAGACAAACGUUUGUAGAAACUGUCAUCAAAGAUGAGUCAGCCCAAUUAAAAAUUAAAAUUUAGAAUUAAAUAAAUACAACAGGCAUUUUAUAUGAAAAUAAACAGUUCUUAUAUAAAACAGUUCAUAACAUGAACUCAAAGUUUAUAGGAUUUUUAUAAGUUGUGUUUUCAAAAUUGUCUUCAAUAAAUACAGAAAACAAAUAUCCUGAAAUAA
RNAcentral lists this long non-coding RNA (1434 nucleotides) under Patiria miniata (bat star). RNAcentral describes it as "uncharacterized LOC119730167". Lineage: Eukaryota; Metazoa; Echinodermata; Asteroidea; Valvatida; Asterinidae. The record is from RNAcentral.